GUUGUCGACAUCUAGGCACUUGAUGCUGACUUUCUUGUUGCUUCUUCUCACAAGGCAUUGGAUUCUUGUAGAUUGAUCUAUUGUUUGCAAUGCCUCCAUUCUUAGAUGGUGGAGAUUUCUUGACCAUUCCACAUUUGCACAACCUCGUUCCAGGUU
Cucumis melo (muskmelon) is the source of this 156-nucleotide long non-coding RNA. RefSeq lists it as uncharacterized. NCBI's taxonomy places the organism in Eukaryota, Viridiplantae, Streptophyta, Magnoliopsida, Cucurbitales, Cucurbitaceae. The record is from RefSeq and is a predicted model, not a curated record. The transcript is spliced from 3 exons.